AGGCUGACUCCGGAGCUAGAGAGGAGCACAUUCGAGCGAGAAGCUACGUGGGUGCAAACAACACUCCAGUUUCUGCCCGGGAGGAGCCGGAUCUAACAACUAGGAGUUCAAGCCCCUACCUACCGACCGACCUGUGGUCUCUGAAGUUGGACAAUGCUCCCCAACAGGUGCAAACAGAAUACCUGUUUGACCGGGCUUUGUCUCUAGGAAACUACAUACGAGGUGAUGGAAAUGCUAUUAAGAGUGAUGUGAAUUAACACAGAGACCUACAAUUGAUUCAGGGAUCUAUGUAGAAGAGGAAGCAGGGAGAUUCUAAGAGCCAGAGAUGGUGGAUGACUUCAAAGAAACAAUGUUUUCCAGCUACAACAGGCUAAUUCCUUCCUGUGCUUGUUGCUGCUUAGACCAUCGCCAACAAGAUUCCAUCUACAAUUAGAUUUACUAAGAGUCAAAACUAUUGGAAACGUGGUCCGUUCUGAGAACUAGACUAGUAUCUUGUAUCGUACUCAGUGAUGUGUGGCCCUUGAGGCUGAAGGCGGGGCAAGCCGAUGGCAAUGGCUUUCUCCAGCACUGUCUUUUCUAUGAGAGUCACUGUGAGGAUCCAGACAAGGCACAGAAGAGAGUUUUGGGAAUCGCCAGAGCUCUGCAAAGAAUUGAGAGGUGUCAGCACUGACCUUGUGAUCUCCACCAAUCAACUGUUCUAAAGUUCAGUUUUAGCAAAAAAACUAGACAGGACUCAAGGUUUGCAGCAGUAUGGAGGCUGGCAGGAUUGCCCAAGCAGAAGGCUGAGGCCACAAGAGGAACAAUCUGUUGGAGCAAGGCUUUGGAGCACUUGUUCGUGAAGGGUGUAAUAAUAAGUGCCGUGGUGUGGGAACUUAAACAAAUAAGAAUCUCCUUCCUCAAAGUUUGAGAGGCCCAAGAUUCAAGAUGGACAUGUCCACAGGAUGGGCGUCCUUCACUCCUGGUUUGCAAACAGUCACCCCCUGUCUGUGUCUACAUAAGCUCUUACCAUGUGUGUUUCUUCCUGGUGCCUCUCAGAGUCGAUGUUGCUUUUUUUCAUAAGAGUACCAAUUAAGGAUGACUUAGGGACCCUAAAUAGACCCAUUUUAACUACAUUAUCUUUUCACUGUUAUUUUCUUGGUUUCCUAAGGAUCAGACAAGGGGCCUUACGUAUGAUAGGUGAGUGCUCUACCAGUGAGCUACACACCCAGCACCCUUAAUAACAGCUUUAAAGAGCAGCCCUCCAAUGCAAAUACCUUCUUAAGUACUAGCAAUUGGGGCUCUAAUAUGAAUUUAGAAACAUGCAUUUAGAAGAAAGGGGCACAAAACAGCCCUUAUUCAAGGACACUUGAGCACUUGGUGGCUUCAUGGCACCUCUCUAUACACUCUCAGUGCCACCUCUAGACCCCACUUAACAUGAGGAAGAUGCCUCCCUUGCAUUAAGCUUUGUGUCCAGGCACUUCUCAUCCAUGCAGGUAGCCGCAUUCCCUAACUGAUACGUAGCAUCUCACUUCAGCUGUUCUUGUUCACCUCUUUUGAAUCUUGUAUGGAGUGGAGUUCCCUCUUCAAUUAAAAGAAAUUAUUC
Molecule: long non-coding RNA, 1582 nt
Filed under: Mus musculus (house mouse)
Lineage: Eukaryota; Metazoa; Chordata; Mammalia; Rodentia; Muridae
Description: RIKEN 4930412L05 isoform 8
Source: RNAcentral